GUGAACGCUGGCGGCGUGCCUAACACAUGCAAGUCGAACGAUGAUAGAGGGCUUGCUCUCUUGAUUAGUGGCGCACGGGUGAGUAUACCAUAGAUAAUGUACCUCUUAGUUCGGGAUAGCCACUGGAAACGGUGAUUAAUACCGGAUACUCCUUCUUACUCUAAGGUAAGUCGGGAAAGUUUUUUCGCUAAGAGAUCAGUCUAUGUCCUAUCAGCUAGUUGGUGAGGUAAUGGCUCACCAAGGCUAUGACGGGUAUCUGGUUUGAGAGGAUGAUCAGACACACUGGAACUGAGACACGGUCCAGACUCCUACGGGAGGCAGCAGUGAGGAAUAUUGCACAAUGGAGGAAACUCUGAUGCAGCAACGCCGCGUGGAGGAUGACGCAUUUCGGUGUGUAAAGCACUUUUCGGGAGGAUGAGGAAGGACGGUACUCCCGGAAUAAGUCUCGGCUAACUACGU
RNAcentral lists this ribosomal RNA (459 nucleotides) under uncultured bacterium. RNAcentral describes it as "partial 16S ribosomal RNA". It matches the Rfam family "Bacterial small subunit ribosomal RNA", at positions 29 to 506 of the family's 1533-position model. The record is from RNAcentral.